Balaenoptera acutorostrata (minke whale) is the source of this 1617-nucleotide long non-coding RNA. RefSeq lists it as uncharacterized. The transcript is spliced from 2 exons. NCBI's taxonomy places the organism in Eukaryota, Metazoa, Chordata, Mammalia, Artiodactyla, Balaenopteridae. The record is from RefSeq and is a predicted model, not a curated record.
GCAGGACACUUAGCUCGUUGUGGAGAGUGGGGAAGAGAGAGUCCCAAACCGUGUUCCUGGGGAAUGAUUACUUAAGACACCAAAUAGAACCCGUCCCCACAGGUGAAGAAAUGCGAUUAUUCAUCUAGUUGACUUUUUGGUGGCAUUUGUGAGGUACAGAGGGAUGGGGGUGGGACUGGAAUGUCCUUUAGGGCUCUGGAGCCCUCCCAGAGCUCUGAGGGAAGGCAAACAAACCUGGUUUGAACCUUGUACUUUCCUGGGAGGCAAAUGGAAGGGGAGUAGGAAAUGGGAGGGAGGAAGCAAAACACAACCCCAGAUCCUAUCAGAAAUCCAUUCCUGGCCACACCCCAUUCCUGGUGGAGGCAAGCUGGGCCAGGACCGUCUGCACAAGGCCAGAGGAAUAGCGAAUAAGGGAAGAGACUUGGCAACCCCCAUCUCAUUCCCAUCAAAGACGGAUCAGGAGCCUAGGGAGGUGGGUAUGGGCACAGUGAAUGAAGGCACGGCGGGUGCAGCCACAGCGUUGAGCUGCGCAUGUCAACUUGGACGUGUGGAUGACCGGUCCAGGUGUGAACCCUGUGAGUACUGUCCGGUGGAUCCAAGUGGGAGUUGGCCCUGUUACCUGCCUCUGCGUGCGCAUCCGCUCCUGCUGGCCUUCCACUGCCUCUUCGUUGCUCUUGUAUUACUUUCAGGAACUUUUAGGAUUAUGGGAUCCUUGAUUUAGUGCACAUAGGUAGGAAAGGGGCCUGUCAUGAGCUGAGAACUGUAGUUUGCUCCCUCUUGUUGCUGGGUUCAUUAUUAGCAGGAGAGGCAGAGCUGUAAUAAUGAAGCAUCCAGCACAGGCGGCCAGUUAGGUUUCACUAAGGAAACCUGCCUUGAUGAGACCUGGGGGAAAGGAAGGAGGGAGGGGGUAAGAGGGAGAGCACGGGUUGGGGUGGAAGUGAAUUAUAAUGGUGCAGUUAAUUAAAGUUUACCAGUGCCAGGAGCCGUUUGUUAAAUGGCAGCUCCCCCUUCUUUUUUUUUUGGAACUGUGUGACCUUUCUCUUUGCUCUGACACAUUCAGCUGCUAGUUUGGUUGCCUUAACCAGUCUUGCUUUGAUCCCUCAGCUAGAUUUCCCCUACCCUGACACUUUCCACAUUGCACACCCAGGAAGCAAUUUCCUCUCCAGUACACGAGGAUUCUUGUGGGUUUCAGAGAUUCAGAUGGAGGUCUCUGAUGAGCUAGUCUUCCUUCAUCUCAAGUUCACCCUGGAUCUCCCCACCUCCUCUGUUUCCUCCUUCUCAUUCUCUUCCCACUACGAGCCAAAGUGGCCAACAUUUAAAAAUCCAUAUUGCUUUUAUUUAUAGGCAUUGUUUGUGCAGCUAACCUAAGCCGGAUGUUUCUUUGAGUGGGCACAGGGGUGGGGCAAAGAGGACUUAAUUCAACAGCUUUGAGAGAAGAGGCUGAUGAUGGGCGUCAUUUUUUGACCUUGAUCUCUGACGGUUGCAAGAUGGGAGAUCCACCAGUGAGGACAACUCACCAUGUCAAGUCCGGCAUUCACAUCUGAACCCGCUCUGCUCACGUGGGCGUGAACACCUAUGUUUUUGUUUGUUUGUUUUUAAUAAAUUUAUUUAUUUAUU